CGGAUCAGGUAGGGAUACCCGCUGAACUUAAGCAUAUCAAUAAGCGGAGGAAAAGAAACCAACAGGGAUUGCCCCAGUAACGGCGAGUGAAGCGGCAAGAGCUCAAAUUUGAAAGCUGGCUCCUUCGGGGUCCGCAUUGUAAUUUGCAGAGGAUGCUUCGGGAGCGGUCCCCAUCUAAGUGCCCUGGAACGGGACGUCAUAGAGGGUGAGAAUCCCGUAUGGGAUGGGGUGUCCGCGCCCAUGUGAAGCUCCUUCGACGAGUCGAGUUGUUUGGGAAUGCAGCUCUAAAUGGGUGGUAAAUUUCAUCUAAAGCUAAAUAUUGGCCGGAGACCGAUAGCGCACAAGUAGAGUGAUCGAAAGAUGAAAAGCACUUUGAAAAGAGAGUUAAAAAGCACGUGAAAUUGUUGAAAGGGAAGCGCUUGCGAUCAGACUCGCUCGCGGGGUUCAGCCGGCAUUCGUGCCGGUGUACUUCCCCGCGGGCGGGCCAGCGUCGGUUUGGGCGGUCGGUCAAAGGCCCUCGGAAGGUAACGCCCCCUCGGGGGCGUCUUAUAGCCGAGGGUGCAAUGCGACCUGCCUGGACCGAGGAACGCGCUUCGGCUCGGACGC
RNAcentral lists this ribosomal RNA (606 nucleotides) under Penicillium raistrickii. RNAcentral describes it as "eukaryotic LSU rRNA". It matches the Rfam family "Eukaryotic large subunit ribosomal RNA", at positions 1 to 626 of the family's 3401-position model. Lineage: Eukaryota; Fungi; Ascomycota; Eurotiomycetes; Eurotiales; Aspergillaceae. The record is from RNAcentral.